GAGAUUUUAACACGAAGUGAGUGGCGGACGGGUGAGUAACACGUGGGUAACCUGCCCAGAAGCAGGGGAUAACACCUGGAAACAGAUGCUAAUACCGUAUAACAGAGAAAACCGCCUGGUUUUCUUUUAAAAGAUGGCUCUGCUAUCACUUCUGGAUGGACCCGCGGCGCAUUAGCUAGUUGGUGAGGUAACGGCUCACCAAGGCGAUGAUGCGUAGCCGACCUGAGAGGGUAAUCGGCCACAUUGGGACUGAGACACGGCCCAGACUCCUACGGGAGGCAGCAGUAGGGAAUCUUCCACAAUGGACGCAAGUCUGAUGGAGCAACGCCGCGUGAGUGAAGAAGGGUUUCGGCUCGUAAAGCUCUGUUGUUAAAGAAGAACGUGGGUGAGAGUAACUGUUCACCCAGUGACGGUAUUUAACCAGAAAGCCACGGCUAACUACGUGCCAGCAGCCGCGGUAAUACGUAGGUGGCAAGCGUUAUCCGGAUUUAUUGGGCGUAAAGCGAGCGCAGGCGGUCUUUUAAGUCUAAUGUGAAAGCCUUCGGCUCAACCGAAGAAGUGCAUUGGAAACUGGGAGACUUGAGUGCAGAAGAGGAUAGUGGAACUCCAUGUGUAGCGGUGAAAUGCGUAGAUAUAUGGAAGAACACCAGUGGCGAAGGCGGCUGUCUGGUCUGUAACUGACGCUGAGGCUCGAAAGCAUGGGUAGCGAACAGGAUUAGAUACCCUGGUAGUCCAUGCCGUAAACGAUGAUUACUAAGUGUUGGAGGGUUUCCGCCCUUCAGUGCUGCAGCUAACGCAUUAAGUAAUCCGCCUGGGGAGUACGACCGCAAGGUUGAAACUCAAAAGAAUUGACGGGGGCCCGCACAAGCGGUGGAGCAUGUGGUUUAAUUCGAAGCUACGCGAAGAACCUUACCAGGUCUUGACAUCUUCUGCCAACCUAAGAGAUUAGGCGUUCCCUUCGGGGACAGAAUGACAGGUGGUGCAUGGUUGUCGUCAGCUCGUGUCGUGAGAUGUUGGGUUAAGUCCCGCAACGAGCGCAACCCUUAUUACUAGUUGCCAGCAUUCAGUUGGGCACUCUAGUGAGACUGCCGGUGACAAACCGGAGGAAGGUGGGGACGACGUCAAAUCAUCAUGCCCCUUAUGACCUGGGCUACACACGUGCUACAAUGGAUGGUACAACGAGUCGCGAAACCGCGAGGUUUAGCUAAUCUCUUAAAACCAUUCUCAGUUCGGACUGUAGGCUGCAACUCGCCUACACGAAGUCGGAAUCGCUAGUAAUCGCGGAUCAGCAUGCCGCGGUGAAUACGUUCCCGGGCCUUGUACACACCGCCCGUCACACCAUGAGAGUUUGUAACACCCAAAGCCGGUGG
This 1370-nucleotide ribosomal RNA is filed under the name Pediococcus acidilactici. RNAcentral describes it as "bacterial SSU rRNA". It matches the Rfam family "Bacterial small subunit ribosomal RNA", at positions 74 to 1433 of the family's 1533-position model. Lineage: Bacteria; Bacillati; Bacillota; Bacilli; Lactobacillales; Lactobacillaceae. The record is from RNAcentral.